RNAcentral lists this ribosomal RNA (490 nucleotides) under Ascotricha xylina. RNAcentral describes it as "SSU rRNA". It matches the Rfam family "Eukaryotic small subunit ribosomal RNA", at positions 54 to 548 of the family's 1831-position model. Lineage: Eukaryota; Fungi; Ascomycota; Sordariomycetes; Xylariales; Xylariaceae. The record is from RNAcentral.
CAUGUCUAAGUAUAAGCAAUUAUACCGCGAAACUGCGAAUGGCUCAUUAAAUCAGUUAUCGUUUAUUUGAUAGUACCUUACUACUUGGAUAACCGUGGUAAUUCUAGAGCUAAUACAUGCUUAAAACCCCGACUCACGGAGGGGUGUAUUUAUUAGAUUAAAAACCAAUGCCCUUCGGGGCUUUUUGGUGAUUCAUAAUAACUUCUCGAAUCGCAUGGCCUUGUGCCGGCGAUGGUUCAUUCAAAUUUCUGCCCUAUCAACUUUCGAUGGCAGGGUCUUGGCCUGCCAUGGUUACAACGGGUAACGGAGGGUUAGGGCUCGACCCCGGAGAAGGAGCCUGAGAAACGGCUACUACAUCCAAGGAAGGCAGCAGGCGCGCAAAUUACCCAAUCCCGAUACGGGGAGGUAGUGACAAUAAAUACUGAUACAGGGCUCUUUUGGGUCUUGUAAUUGGAAUGAGUACAAUUUAAAUCCCUUAACGAGGAACAAU